AACGAACGCUGGCGGCGUGUUUAAGACAUGCAAGUCGUACGGGGAAUCCAUGAAGCUUGCUUUGAGGGUUCCUAGUGGCGCACGGGUGAGUAACACGUGAGUUACAUGCCCCGCAGAGGGGGAUAGCCCGCCGAAAGGCGGAUUAAUACCCCAUGGUAUCCCGCGUAUGCGGGAUUAAAGAGGGCUUCGGCUCUCGCUGCGGGAUUGGCUCGCGUCCUAUCAGCUUGUUGGUGAGGUAACGGCUUACCAAGGCGACGACGGGUAGCUGGUCUGAGAGGACGAUCAGUCACACUGGAACUGAGACACGGUCCAGACACCUACGGGUGCAGCAGUCGAGAAUAUUCACAAUGGACGAAAGUCUGAUGGUGCAACGCCGCGUGGAGGAUGACGGUCUUCGGACUGUAACUCCUGUCAUCGGGAGUAAGACCUGGGGGUUAAUAGCUCACAGGGUUGAUAGUACCCGAAGAGGAAGGGACGGC
Molecule: ribosomal RNA, 479 nt
Filed under: uncultured bacterium
Lineage: Bacteria
Description: bacterial SSU rRNA
Rfam family: Bacterial small subunit ribosomal RNA
Source: RNAcentral